AAGCUUUCAGCAAAUUGGAAGGUAAAUUGCAACAUCCUUAUGUUUUCAUAGUCUUCUUCUCUAUGGUAUUAAUAUUUCACACAUGGAGAGGUGGUUACUGAAUUACAUAUAUGAAUAUUCUUCUAACAUAAUUGUUCUUUCAGCCCUAACCUUGCGGGAAAUAUAGUGCUAAACCAAUAAAAUCAGUGAGAGUAACCCGUAUAGUCCACCCCAACUAGAUUGGGAUUGAGUUGUACUUCUGUAUCAUCAGAAUAUACUAUCCUUUGUAUAUGGACCAUAAUCAAACAAA
RNAcentral lists this unclassified non-coding RNA (289 nucleotides) under Hevea brasiliensis (rubber tree). The record is from RNAcentral. Lineage: Eukaryota; Viridiplantae; Streptophyta; Magnoliopsida; Malpighiales; Euphorbiaceae.